GAGGAUUCCUGCAGGUAGUUGGAAAGAGACCACAGACAUUGAGGGAAGCUUACUCAGGACCUUUUCCUCACCCAGUCUCUCCGGCCAAGUAGUGCUGAAAGCCUGAGGAUGAGCUACUUUGUGGAUUCCACAGCCAGUGGCCCUGCCCCUUAUUCAGCAGUGCGUCCUGCGGUGGCGAGGCAGGGACCCAUCAACUCCUACGAAGAUCCUCGAAUGGCCUGUGGUUUCCAGUCCAGUUAUCACCCGCAAAGAGCUUACUACCCCUUCUGGGAUGAGAUGGCCACUCAGGAAGUUCCCACUGGUCUGGAACACUGUGGCUCAGGUAGGAGCAUGAACAGAGGUUCGGGGUGCGGAUAGAGAUGAAGGACAGUGAAGUGUGAUGAGGGCUGCAUUCUCUGUAGCAACAACAGCUGCCGCGGCUUAUGUGGGGACAAGAUGCUACUGUUCUCCGGUGGAAAGUCCCCGGACUUCUCCAUAAUUCCGAGUUGCUUUCUUCUCCAACAACAGGAAGAUGAAACUCUAGGAAUGAGCCCAAGAGGGGUUGCUUCAGGUCUCCAUUCUGUAAAUAGUUCUGUCCACUGUGCAUUUCCUGAGAGUUACCCGUUGCAGCCUCAUUGUUGACAAAGGGCCUAGAAGGUCUGUGGUCCUGAAGGAAGAGCUGGAUAAACAGUUGGCCUUCUUACAAAACAUCAUUUCUUUCAUUCAUCUUCUUUCCCGCAUUGUCCUCGACCUCUUCGCCUGUGCCCACCUGCGUCUGGCUUCUUUCUGGUCCGCCCCCUCUCUCCCUCCUCUCAGCUCUCCUUUGCAGACCUCCUUCCUCUCCUCCCAGCAUUCUCUUCUCUCCCAGGCUUGCUGCUCAUGGUGCUGCCCCCUGGUGAUCAGGAAUCAAACUCCUCCAGAGAGUUCUCCCCCGGGUCUUGUCUCCCAAAGACCCGACAGGUUUUGAGUGUCCUUACCCCCAUUCUGUUUUGCCGAAGUCACUGGGUGUCUCACAAAUUCCAUUAGUCUGUGCUUACCUGCUAGCGUUUUUGUUAGUUUCUUUUUACUGCAAAAUGUAAACCUUGAUUUGGGGAUUCUGAAGUGGUGGGUUCUGCUAUUAAGUUCAAUGGAUCAUGAGACCAGAUUAUGUAUCCAAAUACCAAAAAGCCAGUUCAAAUCUGUAUUUUCUUCCAGGAUGAAUUCUUAGCCUAAGAAAUCUCAUUACUCUCACAAAUGGAAAAUAUAUAAUUCCGGGGGUGCCUGGGUGGCUCGGUGGGUGAAGUGUCCAACUCUUGGUUUCAGCUCAAGUCAUAAUCUCAUGGUUUGUGAGUUCAAGCCCCAUGUUGGGCUCAGGGCUGACAGAGCAGAGCCUGCCUGGGAUUCUCUCUUUCUUUCUCUCAGCCCCUCCCCUGCUCACACACUCUCUCUCAAAAGAAACAGAUAAACUUAAAAAAAUAAUAAAAUAAAAUAUGUAAUUCUGAGGCUAACAUAGGGAGAAAGCCACUGGGGCACUAACUUAAAAAUAUGUAAUUCUGAGGCUAACACAGGGAGAAAGCCACUGGGGGACUAACUUAAAUGCAACUUUUUGUUUAAUGUUUCUUUACUCCACAUAACGAUACUACUUUUUAUAAUAGUGGAGAGGGAACACAAGUGUUAGUUUUGUUGCCCGUUCUUCGUCUUUGACCAGAAAUACCAAGACACAAAGCAAGAUGCUGUAGCAUCUUGGUGGGAGUUGGAAGGAAGGCAUGUGAGUUGCUUUCCAGUUGCCUGGCUCUUCUUUAGGGCAGAAUGAAAUCAAUCCUUGUGUUCCCUAGUCUCUCAAGUCAAUAGCCAUUGAUAUUUGUCAUAUUCUUUGGGGCACUGCCCUUGGAUUUCAGACAUCAGACAUUAUGCUGUCACUUUCUGCUUGGUUCUCCCAAGCAUAAAUACAA
Molecule: long non-coding RNA, 1910 nt
Organism: Panthera uncia (snow leopard)
Lineage: Eukaryota; Metazoa; Chordata; Mammalia; Carnivora; Felidae
Exons: 3
Source: RefSeq, a predicted model, not a curated record